GCCCGCCAGCGGUGGAACAAUCGCCUCCAAGAAGGCCCAACCCAAGAAGAAUGUCCACAACACCACCCCUGUUUGAACCUCCAUCUGCACCUCCAUCCACACCUCCAUCCGUAUAUCAGUCUGUACCUCCAUCUGCACCUCCAUCCUCACCUCCAUCCGUACAUCAGUCUAUAGCUCCAUCUGCACCUCCACCUGUACCUCUAUCUGCACCUCCAUCCUCACCUCCAUCCGGACAUCGGUCUGUACCUCCAUCCGCACUUCCAUCCGUACAUCAGGCCGUACCUCCAUCUGCACCUUCGCCUUUACAUGGGAAGUUCGGGUGCAGGAAGCGAGGGGGGAGAAAGCGAAGACUGAAGAAGCGCUACUGAGCGGGGAGGAAGGUGGUUGUAAAACACCAACCUUUGGUUUUUUUUUGUAAAUAUGAUUAUUUUUGUAUAUUAUUAUUAUUAUUAUUAUUAUUAUUAUUAUUAUUAUUAUUUCUAUUAUUGUUACUGUUAUUAUUAUUAUAAUUAAAAAACACAUUAUUCUGAAAGA
Molecule: long non-coding RNA, 534 nt
Organism: Hemicordylus capensis (graceful crag lizard)
Lineage: Eukaryota; Metazoa; Chordata; Lepidosauria; Squamata; Cordylidae
Exons: 3
Source: RefSeq, a predicted model, not a curated record